GCCCGGGUGACGGAAUGGCAGACGUAGCGGUUUCAAAAACCGCCGGCCGCAAGGUCAUGGGGGUUCGAGUCCCCCCCUGGGCACCA
This 86-nucleotide transfer RNA is filed under the name Planctomycetota bacterium. RNAcentral's name for it is "Planctomycetes bacterium (activated sludge metagenome) tRNA-Leu". It matches the Rfam family "tRNA". From Rfam's summary of the family: Transfer RNA (tRNA) molecules are approximately 80 nucleotides in length. The record is from RNAcentral. Lineage: Bacteria; Pseudomonadati; Planctomycetota.